ACGGAAGGCAGCAGUGGGGAAUAUUGGGCAAUGGGCGCAAGCCUGACCCAGCGACGCCGCGUGAGGGAAGAAGGUCUUCGGAUUGUAAACCUCUUUCAGCAGGGAAGAAGCAAGUGACGGUACCUGCAGAAGAAGUCACGGCUAACUACGUGCCAGCAGCCGCGGUAAUACGUAGGUGGCGAGCGUUAUCCGGAAUUACUGGGUGUAAAGGGUGUGUAGGCGGAGAAGCAAGUCAGGCGUGAAAUUUAUGGGCUCAACUCAUAAACUGCGUUUGAAAAUGUUCCCUUGAGAGUGGGAGAGGUAAACGGAAUUCCUGGUGUAGUAGUGAAAUGCGUAGAUAUCAGGAGGAACACCGGUGGCGAAGGCGGUUUACUGGACCACAACUGACGCUGAGACACGAAAGCGUGGGGAGCAAACAGGAUUAGAUACCCUGGUA
Molecule: ribosomal RNA, 436 nt
Filed under: uncultured Oscillospiraceae bacterium
Lineage: Bacteria; Bacillati; Bacillota; Clostridia; Eubacteriales; Oscillospiraceae
Description: bacterial SSU rRNA
Rfam family: Bacterial small subunit ribosomal RNA
Source: RNAcentral